This 293-nucleotide unclassified non-coding RNA is filed under the name Hevea brasiliensis (rubber tree). Lineage: Eukaryota; Viridiplantae; Streptophyta; Magnoliopsida; Malpighiales; Euphorbiaceae. The record is from RNAcentral.
GGUGGAGGUGGAGGUGGAGGUGAAAUUUUACUUGAUUGCUGGUUGUUUAAUGAUCGAAGAAUGGCCACGUUUGGUGGUGGUGGAGGCGGUGAGAAUUUUGGCCUUUUGGGUAAAUACGAACUUGGCUCAAUAUUCUCAGCACGAUCCUCCUGUGUUAGUGCUGGACAUGGUGGUGGAUUAGGUGGUACCUGUGACGGUAAUGGCUGCUUUAUUGACGGUAUGAUGACGUGCUUCAUUUCCGGCGAAGAAAUCGAAGAGAGUCGCGACUUGGGAGAGGUUCUUUUAGAAUGAGG